AUUGAACGCUGGCGGCAGGCCUAACACACGCAAGUCGAACGGUAACAGGAAACAGCUUGCUGUUUCGCUGACGAGUGGCGGACGGGUGAGGAAUGUCUGGGAAACUGCCUGAUGGAGGGGGAUAACUACUGGAAACGGUAGCUAAUACCGCAUAACGUCGCAAGACCAAAGAGGGGGAACUUCGGGCCUCUUGCCAUCGGAUGUGCCCAGAUGGGAUUAGCUAGUAGGUGGGGUAACGGCUCACCUAGGCGACGAUCCCUAGCUGGUCUGAGAGGAUGACCAGCCACACUGGAACUGAGACACGGUCCAGACUCCUACGGGAGGCAGCAGUGGGGAAUAUUGCACAAUGGGCGCAAGCCUGAUGCAGCCAUGCCGCGUGUAUGAAGAAGGCCUUCGGGUUGUAAAGUACUUUCAGCGGGGAGGAAGGGAGUAAAGUUAAUACCUUUACUCAUUGACGUUACCCGCAGAAGAAGCACCGGCUAACUCCGUG
RNAcentral lists this ribosomal RNA (490 nucleotides) under uncultured bacterium. RNAcentral describes it as "partial 16S ribosomal RNA". It matches the Rfam family "Bacterial small subunit ribosomal RNA", at positions 30 to 507 of the family's 1533-position model. The record is from RNAcentral.